CAGCCGCCGCGGUAAUACGAAGGGUGCAAGCGUUAAUCGGAAUUACUGGGCGUAAAGCGUGCGUAGGCGGUGAGUUAAGUCUGCUGUGAAAUCCCCGGGCUCAACCUGGGAAUGGCAGUGGAUACUGGCUCGCUAGAGUGUGUCAGAGGAUGGUGGAAUUCCCGGUGUAGCGGUGAAAUGCGUAGAGAUCGGGAGGAACAUCAGUGGCGAAGGCGGCCAUCUGGGACAACACUGACGCUGAGGCACGAAAGCGUGGGGAGCAAACAGGAUUAGAUACCCCCGUAGUCCUGUCUCUUAUACA
Molecule: ribosomal RNA, 301 nt
Filed under: uncultured bacterium
Lineage: Bacteria
Description: partial 16S ribosomal RNA
Rfam family: Bacterial small subunit ribosomal RNA
Source: RNAcentral